Molecule: transfer RNA, 108 nt
Filed under: Candidatus Woesearchaeota archaeon
Lineage: Archaea; Nanobdellati; Candidatus Woesearchaeota
Description: tRNA-Arg
Rfam family: tRNA
About the family: Transfer RNA (tRNA) molecules are approximately 80 nucleotides in length. Their secondary structure includes four short double-helical elements and three loops (D, anti-codon, and T loops). Further hydrogen bonds mediate the characteristic L-shaped molecular structure. tRNAs have two regions of fundamental functional importance: the anti-codon, which is responsible for specific mRNA codon recognition, and the 3' end, to which the tRNAs corresponding amino acid is attached (by aminoacyl-tRNA synthetases). tRNAs cope with the degeneracy of the genetic code in two manners: having more than one tRNA (with a specific anti-codon) for a particular amino acid; and 'wobble' base-pairing, i.e. permitting non-standard base-pairing at the 3rd anti-codon position.
Source: RNAcentral
GGACCCGUAGCGUAGCUUGGAUAGCGCAUCAGCCUUCUAAGCUGAGGGUCGAGGGUUCAAAAAGCCAGCAAUUAAAGUGAUUGUGGCAUGGGUGUCCCUCCGGGUCCA